GAGUGGCGAACGGGUGAGUAACGCGUGAGGAACCUGCCUCAAAGAGGGGGACAACAGUUGGAAACGACUGCUAAUACCACAUAAGCCCACAGGUCGGCAUCGACCAGAGGGAAAAGGAGCAAUCCGCUUUGAGAUGGCCUCGCGUCCGAUUAGCUAGUUGGUGAGGUAACGGCCCACCAAGGCAACGAUCGGUAGCCGGACUGAGAGGUUGAACGGCCACAUUGGGACUGAGACACGGCCCAGACUCCUACGGGAGGCAGCAGUGGGGAAUAUUGCACAAUGGGGGAAACCCUGAUGCAGCAACGCCGCGUGAAGGAAGACGGUUUUCGGAUUGUAAACUUCUGUUCUUAGUGAAGAAUAAUGACGGUAGCUAAGGAGCAAGCCACGGCUAACUACGUGCCAGCAGCCGCGGUAAUACGUAGGUGGCAAGCGUUGUCCGGAAUUACUGGGUGUAAAGGGAGCGUAGGCGGGAUGCCAAGUCAGCUGUGAAAACUAUGGGCUUAACCCGUAGACUGCAGUUGAAACUGGUAUUCUUGAGUGAAGUAGAGGUUGGCGGAAUUCCGAGUGUAGCGGUGAAAUGCGUAGAUAUUCGGAGGAACACCGGUGGCGAAGGCGGCCAACUGGGCUUUAACUGACGCUGAGGCUCGAAAGUGUGGGGAGCAAACAGGAUUAGAUACCCUGGUAGUCCACACUGUAAACGAUGAUAACUAGGUGUGGGGGGUCUGACCCCUUCCGUGCCGCAGCUAACGCAAUAAGUUAUCCACCUGGGGAGUACGACCGCAAGGUUGAAACUCAAAGGAAUUGACGGGGGGACCCGCACAAGCAGUGGAUUAUGUGGUUUAAUUCGAAGCAACGCGAAGAACCUUACCAGCACUUGACAUCCGACUAACGAAGUAGAGAUACAUUAGGUGCCCUUCGGGGAAAGUCGAGACAGGUGGUGCAUGGUUGUUGUCAGCUCGUGUCGUGAGAUGUUGGGUUAAGUCCCGCAACGAGCGCAACCCCUGCCAUUAGUUGCUACGCAAGAGCACUCUAAUGGGACCGCUACCGACAAGGUGGAGGAAGGUGGGGACGACGUCAAAUCAUCAUGCCCCUUAUGUGCUGGGCUACACACGUAAUACAAUGGCCAUCAACAAAGAGAAGCAAUACCGCGAGGUGGAGCAAAACUUCAAAAAUGGUCUCAGUUCGGACUGCAGGCUGCAACCCGCCUGCACGAAGUUGGAAUUGCUAGUAAUCGUGGAUCAGCAUGCCACGGUGAAUACGUUCCCGGGUCUUGUACUCACCGCCCGUCA
This 1289-nucleotide ribosomal RNA is filed under the name uncultured bacterium. RNAcentral's name for it is "bacterial SSU rRNA". It matches the Rfam family "Bacterial small subunit ribosomal RNA", at positions 93 to 1399 of the family's 1533-position model. The record is from RNAcentral.